CCUCCUGGAGUUCCCGCAGCGUCACCUGGGCCUCUGCCACCGCCUCCGGAAUGGCCUCCGGAACUGCCUCUGGAACUGCCGCUUCAGCCUGGGAACCUCCCAGAGGGCCUAGCACUCCAUGGCGCACACUAUCCCUGAAGGCCUCCACUUUUCUCUCGAUUCGUCCCUCACUGACCCUCUCCUCUAGAGACUCCUAAAGACUCACCGUUUCCUCUGGUGGGGGCACCGUGGGUUCCAGGCUGGGCUCUUGCAAUGGCUCAGGCAACGCCUCGGCCUCCAGUUCCAUGGGCGUGGAGCCCGGGAUCUCAUCAUCCCUGGGGAGAGGAAGAGGGCGAGGGGAGGAAGAGCCGAUCCUCUGCAUUUACAGCCAGGACUCCCUAGCCUGUGCCCUGGGGCAGCCAGACCUGAAGGCUCCAGGCUUGAGGAGGGGGAGGGGCAGAGUGAAGGGAAUAAAUGGCCAGGCUGGUGAGACAGGUCCUCCUCUUGUUAGGAAAAGGCCUGCCCCUGGCAUGGCCUCAGGCCCCUGGAAGCUGGCCUCUCUGCACCUUCCUUGGGAACCUGGGGUCAGGAAACCCAUGUUCUAGGAUCUGCCCAUCUCCGUCUCCAUGUGCGCUUUACAGGCCCCUCUCCUAAGGGCCUCAGGAAGUGAGGGAGACACUCCCAGCUCUGGCUACCUCCAAAGGGGUGGUCUUCAGACUGGGUGUUGGACCCCAAGCCUGACUCUAGACAGCAGCCACCCCUCCCACCCCCAGACCCAGGUGCUGGGAGGAAGACAGACCCUCCCAAGGAAUAUGAAAUUGCAGUAAAAGUGACGUCCCCUCCAAGCCAGCAGUCCCUCUUGUAGAAAUAUGUCUCAAGGACCCAAUGAUGCUCGACAAGCGCCAAGACCAACCUGCGGCUGUUCAUCCAGCCUGGGUCAUGACAGAGGCGGGUUAGCUGAGUCCUGACCCGCCCAGUAAGGAGAACACUCCCCAGCGGGUCAGGAUUGUGUUACAGUUUGUUCAAGAAAUGGCACUUGCGGUACAUUGUCCAAUAACAAAACAGAUCAGAAUCCAGCAUGUUCUCGCAGCUGUUAAGUACGUGUGCUGUGAGCCAGGGACACACAAGGCCGCUGCUGGCGGCCUUCCUUUUUCUCAUCCCUAUUUUCUAAUAUACUUGUGAUAAGCAAUGUAUUAUUUUCAGAAUCAGUGUUUAAAGAAGGCUUUGCGGUUAUGUAA
This is a non-coding RNA of Delphinapterus leucas (beluga whale), 1217 nucleotides long. Lineage: Eukaryota; Metazoa; Chordata; Mammalia; Artiodactyla; Monodontidae. The record is from RefSeq and is a predicted model, not a curated record.